This 380-nucleotide ribosomal RNA is filed under the name uncultured Acholeplasma sp. Its description in RNAcentral is "bacterial SSU rRNA". It matches the Rfam family "Bacterial small subunit ribosomal RNA", at positions 996 to 1382 of the family's 1533-position model. The record is from RNAcentral. Lineage: Bacteria; Bacillati; Mycoplasmatota; Mollicutes; Acholeplasmatales; Acholeplasmataceae.
UGCUUUAGAGAUAAAGCGGAGGUAUUCGGGGAGACAGGUGGUGCAUGGUUGUCGUCAGCUCGUGUCGUGAGAUGUUGGGUUAAGUCCCGCAACGAGCGCAACCCCUAUUGCUAGUUACCAUCAUUAAGUUGGGGACUCUAGCGAGACUGCCAGUGAUAAACUGGAGGAAGGUGGGGAUGACGUCAAAUCAUCAUGCCCCUUAUGACCUGGGCUACAAACGUGAUACAAUGGCUGGAACAAAGGGAUGCGAAGCAGUGAUGUGGAGCGAAACCCAUAAAAACAGUCUCAGUUCGGAUUGAAGUCUGCAACUCGACUUCAUGAAGUCGGAAUCGCUAGUAAUCGCGGAUCAGAACGCCGCGGUGAAUACGUUCUCGGGGUUU